GUGCUUGUUGUUUUUGUUUCUGAAAACCCAGCAGGUCUGAAAGGUGGCCAGUGGAGCUUCCGCUCCUCAGCAGCCAUCCAGCCAGCCCAUCAACCUUCUCUGGAAAGUAGAGAGCCCCGGCCACCUCACGGGGGCUGUGCUCAGAGCCAUGGCCCCUGCUGUCCCACAGGCUCCCCCAGCGUGGCUGCCCUUGGGGGUGGGGUCCCUGGGCAGCCUCUUCUCCCCCGCCCCUCCAACUCUCAGCCCCCAGUCAGCUUGCUGAGGACCCACCCAGCAAUGCCCAGGAUCCACACCUGGCUCGCCCUUACUCCCGCUUGUUGCUCCAGGAGGCACCCGGAAGCCAUGAGUCCCUGCCGGCGAGAGACUGACAGCCCUUUGGGGUGAGGUAGUAGGUUGUAUAGUUUGGGGCUCCGCCCUGCUGUGGAUAACUAUACAAUCUACUGUCUUUCCUGAAGUGGCGUGAUAUCUGCGGUGGACACAGCCCUGGGCCCUGACUGGGACUUGUGGGGGUCAUGGGGGGUCAUGGCUACAGAGCAGCGAGAGGUGCAACCGGCUUGGGAGGCUCUGCGGGUUGGCCCCGCCCACCCCAAGGGUGUCCGUCCUGAUACCUGGCAUCUGCCCAGCCUGCCCCACUAGUGCUAGGCCUCUGGUGAGGGCAGUGGCUCUUCCCGGGCAGGGAAGGCAGCCCAGGGGCCUUUGCCUGAUAGCAUGCGAGAGGGGCACUCACUGAGACCACCCUUGUCUCCACCUCCUGCCCUGCGCCCACCUGGCCCUGCAGUGCCAGUGGCCAAGGCCCACAGGGCAGGGUUGGAAAGCAGGGCGCAGGGCAGGCCCUCCUGGUGGG
This 844-nucleotide long non-coding RNA is filed under the name Heterocephalus glaber (naked mole-rat). RNAcentral describes it as "lncRNA (ENSHGLG00000034537.1)". The stretch from base 376 to 453 matches the Rfam family "let-7 microRNA precursor family". The record is from RNAcentral. Lineage: Eukaryota; Metazoa; Chordata; Mammalia; Rodentia; Bathyergidae.